GUUGGCAUUAGAGAGACAGAAAUCUAUCAAUUCAUUGUAAUUCUAACAAUGUCCUUAAAUGAAAGAUUUAAAAUAAUAAAAUCUCACUUCCAGACACUUGAAAAAUAAUUAAUAAAAUAAUCUAACAAUAAGGAUAUUAAAGUACUCUUCCUAUGGUACGACUAAAUUCCCUUUCACUGUGAUCAAUACACUCUUCCUAGAUCAAGUGUUGUGUAACUUUACUAGCAAGACCUUCACUACGUACUGAAUUGCUCUGUGAUGUAAAAGAACCAAGCAGCACUCAAGACCAUGCUUCAACAUGGUAUCUCCCAUCCCUUUCUAACCUCCUAAGUAGCAGCCCAGCAGCUUCCUUCGAAACCCCAGCCUCUUGGGAUAUUAUAUCCUCAAAUGCUGCCAUUACAUCUGAGGGCAUUUUGGUUGAAGAUCCUGCAACGUAAAUAGAAGCCCCCUCUAACACCAAAUCCCAUAUCCUCUCACUGUGUUCUCGCAUUUUAUGCUGCACAUAAACCUUUUGCGGUUGGUCUCUUGAAAAGGCAACAUAAAAACCCCCACCCCUUUGUUCUGAAAGCACCCCAUUUUCUGGUGCAUGAGACAACCAAAAAUCUUUAUAUAAGAAGUCAUUCUCCUCAUUUCGGCAACCAAAGAAGAGCAAAAUGGGAGCAGCUCUACCAGACACAUCUUGUAUGGUUCUUUCCUCCACAAAUCCACGGAAAGGUGCACAUCCUGUCCCAGGCCCAACAAGAAUAAGGGGAAGUGAUGGUGGUGGAGGAGGAAGUAAACCUUUGUGAAACCAUGCUGGAAUAUAUAACCCUGUACUUUGUUGAGGAUCAAGUUUGGCGAGCCACAUGGAGCAGAGACCAGUCCGCUUCCUCUUAAAAGGUGUUGUCCACGACACUACGUUCACUGUCAAGUGCACUUCAUUAGGAUGAGCUGAAAGGGAGGAAGAAAUGGAGAAAGCCCUUGUUUUCAAUUGAGGAACCAACUGCACCAACCACUCAAAAGGCAUUUGCACAGAAGGGAAAUCCUCUAGAACCUGUAUCCCAAAGAAUUAAAGACAAAUCAUUCUCAGGAGAAGUAAGUACAUUCAAAUGUGUAAGAUGCAAUAGACUAACAUUUAUAGGAUGGCUCAAAUCAGGCAGCUGCACUCUAAUAAACAUAGUUAGAAUGACAGUUACCUCUACAUUCUCUCGAGAGGAAAAAUAGUUCCAGGACAAAAUAUAACAAUGCAGGAGGCCAAGUUCCCUACCAGUGCAAGAAACCACUGAAUUCUAAAAUUAAACACACAAGAAAACUGGCUAGUACUCCCAAUCAUUUAAUAUGCUAAGUUGUUUACCCUGCACAAAAGACCUCAAUGCAUAUUGCAUCCAUAAAUAAUCUAUAUGAACAUAUUGUAGCAAAGGACAAUCAUAUUUCACUUGUCCAAUUUGAGCCACAGAUGCCUAGGAUAACUCAUCUUCCAGAAGCAAUUAAGUUAAAAUUAAAUGAUUACAGAAACCAAAAAAAAAAGAACCUCAUUCUUUUCACCAAUUACACAUUCUUAUUCUCCAUGUAUCCUAAAAUAAUUUUGUCUGCAGCACAUGCUUCACCUCAGCAAAUAACACAGAAAACAUGUGCUGUUUUAGUUAGGUGACUUGAAGUACAGUUGCCUUGUAUAAAUAAUACACUUCGGCUUGGAAUUAUGCUAAACAAAGAUAAAAUAGACCAGAAUCUAAUCUUUUCACCCAAUUCACUUUCCCUUCUUCAUCAAACCAUCCUAUCUCUGCAUUAAUGGCUUUAUUUAAGCAAAUUAAAAAGAACAUAUAUUAACAUGCCUGAGGAAUUAAACCUCAAAGAAUUAAACAGAAUAUAUAUUAACAUGUGAAGAAAUGAACCUUGAAGAAAGAUGCUUAUCAAUUGAUGUACAAUGCACAAAAUGACAAAAUGCAUUAUGUUUCUUAAAUUCACCUCCAAAACAGUUCUUCGUUCCUUCUGGUUGUAUUGGUAUAGAUCAUCUCUUCCUUCAGGUGAUGCAAAAUGUUGAAGUCUCUCCUUUUCAUGCUGAGCUGUCGCAAAAAAGCUCAUAACCUGAACAAGAAAUAUUAUCAGUACAGAAGAUGAGAAGCACACAGGCAUACAAAAAGGUACAACCAUCAAAAUUCAGCACAAAACAUGAUUUUAUUAUGAAAUAAAAGGCCUCCUUAAUGAAUU
This 2187-nucleotide unclassified non-coding RNA is filed under the name Hevea brasiliensis (rubber tree). The record is from RNAcentral. Lineage: Eukaryota; Viridiplantae; Streptophyta; Magnoliopsida; Malpighiales; Euphorbiaceae.